Molecule: transfer RNA, 86 nt
Filed under: Lentisphaerota bacterium
Lineage: Bacteria; Pseudomonadati; Lentisphaerota
Description: Lentisphaerae bacterium (anaerobic digester metagenome) tRNA-Tyr
Rfam family: tRNA
About the family: Transfer RNA (tRNA) molecules are approximately 80 nucleotides in length. Their secondary structure includes four short double-helical elements and three loops (D, anti-codon, and T loops).
Source: RNAcentral
GGUAGGGUACCCAAGUGGCCAACGGGGGCAGACUGUAAAUCUGCUAGUCUUUACUUUCCAUGGUUCGAAUCCAUGCCCUACCACCA